UACGUAGGGUGCGAGCGUUGUCCGGAAUUAUUGGGCGUAAAGGGCUCGUAGGCGGUUUGUCGCGUCGGGAGUGAAAACCCAGGGCUUAACCCUGGGCUGGCUUCCGAUACGGGCAGACUAGAGGUAUGCAGGGGAGAACGGAAUUCCUGGUGUAGCGGUGAAAUGCGCAGAUAUCAGGAGGAACACCGGUGGCGAAGGCAGCUUGCUGGGACAUUACUGACGCUGAGCUACGAAAGCGUGGGGAGCAAACAGG
This 253-nucleotide ribosomal RNA is filed under the name uncultured bacterium. Its description in RNAcentral is "partial 16S ribosomal RNA". It matches the Rfam family "Bacterial small subunit ribosomal RNA", at positions 524 to 776 of the family's 1533-position model. The record is from RNAcentral.